Molecule: transfer RNA, 69 nt
Filed under: Sabethes cyaneus
Lineage: Eukaryota; Metazoa; Arthropoda; Insecta; Diptera; Culicidae
Description: tRNA-Leu
Source: RNAcentral
ACUAUUUUGGCAGAUUAGUGCAAUAAAUUUAGAAUUUAUUUAUAUAAUAAUAUGUUAUUAUAAAUAGUA